CAGCAGCCGCGGUAAAACGUAGGUGGCAAGCGUUGUCCGGAAUUAUUGGGCGUAAAGGGCUCGCAGGCGGUUUCUUAAGUCUGAUGUGAAAGCCCCCGGCUCAACCGGGGAGGGUCAUUGGAAACUGGGAAACUUGAGUGCAGAAGAGGAGAGUGGAAUUCCACGUGUAGCGGUGAAAUGCGUAGAGAUGUGGAGGAACACCAGUGGCGAAGGCGACUCUCUGGUCUGUAACUGACGCUGAGGAGCGAAAGCGUGGGGAGCGAACAGGAUUAGAUACCCGCGUAGUCCCUGUCUCUUAUAC
This 301-nucleotide ribosomal RNA is filed under the name uncultured bacterium. RNAcentral describes it as "partial 16S ribosomal RNA". It matches the Rfam family "Bacterial small subunit ribosomal RNA", at positions 509 to 807 of the family's 1533-position model. The record is from RNAcentral.